GAGUUUGAUCGGCUCAGAUUGAACGCUGGCGGCAUGCCUUACACAUGCAAGUCGAACGGCAGCACGGGAGCUUGCUCCUGGUGGCGAGUGGCGAACGGGUGAGUAAUGCAUCGGAACGUAUCCUGGAGUGGGGGAUAACGUAGCGAAAGUUACGCUAAUACCGCAUAUUCUGUGAGCAGGAAAGCGGGGGACCUUCGGGCCUCGCGCUCUUGGAGCGGCCGAUGUCGGAUUAGCUAGUUGGUGAGGUAAAGGCUCACCAAGGCGACGAUCCGUAGCAGGUCUGAGAGGAUGAUCUGCCACACUGGAACUGAGACACGGUCCAGACUCCUACGGGAGGCAGCAGUGGGGAAUUUUGGACAAUGGGGGCAACCCUGAUCCAGCCAUGCCGCGUGAGUGAAGAAGGCCUGG
RNAcentral lists this ribosomal RNA (408 nucleotides) under bacterium enrichment culture clone ALO1_GLFRUDD03HFIBW. Its description in RNAcentral is "bacterial SSU rRNA". It matches the Rfam family "Bacterial small subunit ribosomal RNA", at positions 9 to 419 of the family's 1533-position model. The record is from RNAcentral.